Long non-coding RNA from Neodiprion fabricii, 714 nucleotides. RefSeq lists it as uncharacterized. The transcript is spliced from 2 exons. The record is from RefSeq and is a predicted model, not a curated record. NCBI's taxonomy places the organism in Eukaryota, Metazoa, Arthropoda, Insecta, Hymenoptera, Diprionidae.
CGCUCCUUUAUAUUUCCCGGGAUUUGCCAAAUUUCCAUUCAAGAGGAUUUUGAUGUCGAGGCAAAGCAUAUUGGUAGGAAAUGUGCGAGCCAGGGUUGGCAGCGCUGGACCUUCCGCUGCAUACGUUCGCCGACUCUGAACAGUACGAGAUCACUGAAAAAUUGAUUCUAGUAUUAUCUGAACUGGAUCAAAGCCCAACAAAAAAAAAAUCUGAAGGCAUUUACCUUGCUUUUUCUUCGACCUUGGAGCCAGAAUCUUUUCAUCUUCGAAUCGAUUGAAAUCAACAUUGCCAGUCUAAUUGGAUUACGAGGACCACAGAGAAGGGAUUCCAAAUAUUGGAGAACCGACAUUCCAGUACAUACAAAAAAUGCAAAGAAUUUAAUUUAUUUAUAUGUUGAUUUUAUGUCAGGUUACAUCAAAUAAGAACAAUCCAUAUCUAGUCCUGCAAAAGUGCUUUGCACCUCUGCGUGGACCAAAACUUGAUCGAUACUGAUAAACUACAAUAAUAGCUAUCUGAUACAGAUGCAGAUUGCACUCCUUCCACCUCGUAUGAUUGUCAAACGUGAUACGUUAUGUAAGAUGAUUUGUAAGCAUUUCGUUUGUGUUUGACUUGUAUACUCUUAGGCACCAUGUGGAGUUACUAUCCACUGAAACCCGAUCGCUUGUACUAGAAUUAAGGUGUACUUAAUAAACUGAUAAAAAAAUUCGAAUUCU